GACGGGGUCGAUGGAUGAUCCUAAAGAUCCAUGGCCUAGGGUAGUAACCUCCAUUGCACUUAGGAGGGGUGCUGCCUUAAGGUCUCCCCAAGUUGGGAGAGCCUACGUCAUAAUUUGUGGCAGCGGGGGCCUGCGUUCGCGCGGCCCCUAACCAAUUUUUUAAGUGCAGUUUUUAUUAAUCAACUCCUUUCUGUAUUAGUUGUUCUGCCAGUCACCCAUAAUGGAAUUUGGUCUGGGUUGGGGAAAGGAUAUCCCAAAUGUACCGGAACUGCAUGAGUUUGCAGUAAAAGCUGAAAAGAUCCAUAUAUGUUACCAGUCUUAAAUAUCAGUGUUUAGCACUUGCACCUAAUAUAUUACCAGGACUGAAGUAGGGACAAAGUGUACCAACUAAAGCUACACUACAAAAGGCCAUUGUUGACCACCACUUAAUAAAUGUUGCAGUCGAUGGAAAAGUCGUGCUUGGAUUGUCUGAUAUAGACCAAAACCCCUCAAAGAAGCUUUAACUGCUCCUUCCCAAUCAUGUCUAUCGUUUCGAGAUCCUUCUUUUCCAUCCUUCACCUCCAUAACGAUGGCAGGUUCCUGUUGCAAUCAUGUUUAUUUUCAAGAUGUUAUUGUCCAUAUAAAAAAAUAAGACAACUGGUAAUUGAUUCAACUGUAUGCCACUACAAUUCAAAUUCAUUGGUUCAACAACACUUUAAUCUAAAACAACAAUGAUUAAAUUUGUCAAAAUUGUUAACAUGAAUGCAAUAUGUGUAUUGAACAUCUCAUGCUUAAACAUAAUAUACAUUACUUAUAUUUUUUCGUGCUUAUUAAAUAUGUUGUAUUAGUGUAGCUUAAUCACAGUUCUUUUUUACCUUUUAAAGAGGAAAACAAUGACAGCAAAAAGCAUAACAUCCUUAUAUGCAUUGUGAAGAGACCUGCUGAGUGUACCUCAGAUCCCACAUCGCUAGAUGAUGGCAAUAUAGCAAAGCGCUAGGUAUAUAAAUAAAAGGCAAGCUCCGACAUUAUAACAUACUUACCUGGGCGGGGUCUGUUGGUGAUCAGGAAGAUCCAUGUUCUAGGGUAGUGACCUCCAUUGCACUGAGGAGGGGUGCUACUACGUCAUAAUUUGUGGCAGCGGGGGCCAGCGUUCGCGCGGCCCCUUCCCAAAUACUAGGUCUAAAGAUUUAAUGGAGUUAAUAUGUUUAAUAAUUUUCAAGUCUAUUUCAGUAUAAUAUUGUUAUCUUCGGUAAUGGUCUAUUAUAGUCUGUAUUUACGAUGUUUAAAAGUAGAUCGUAUAUAUUCGCCAGGGUUUUGCAAAUUAACUCUCAAAUGUGAAUGAUUUGUAAGAGAUUCACAAUUGUCACAGGCACUUGCGUUGUGAAUAUUGAAAACAGGUUUGGGGUGUAAAAAGUCUGAACUUAUAUUUCCUUAACACGUGCAUUUAAAGUUUUGAUCAGAUCUUGAUGUCAUCUGAUCCUUAGUCAACUCUCCAGGAUCAAAUGUGUAUAUACAUAUGUACAUAUAUGCAAGGGUCUGUUUAACACAUGCAUUUAAGGCAAAACUGGAUAAAGGCCAUUAAUGACACUAAUGUUGCAGUUGAUGGAAGUGUUUGGAUUGUCUGAUAGACCAUUAAACCUUUCCAAAAGGUUAAUUGCUCCUUCCCAAUCAUGUCUACUGUUUUAAGAUCCUUCUUUGUCUUCUUAAAACCUACGUAACCAUGACAUAUUCCUAUUGCGUUUUCAGCAUGGUCAUGUCAAACAUAUACUCG
Molecule: long non-coding RNA, 1750 nt
Filed under: Gossypium barbadense (sea-island cotton)
Lineage: Eukaryota; Viridiplantae; Streptophyta; Magnoliopsida; Malvales; Malvaceae
Description: long non-coding RNA (GBAR_LNC008309)
Rfam family: U1 spliceosomal RNA (bases 1-150)
Source: RNAcentral